AGUGAACGCUGGCGGUAGGCCUAACACAUGCAAGUCGAACGGCAGCACAGUAAGAGCUUGCUCUUACGGGUGGCGAGUGGCGGACGGGUGAGGAAUACAUCGGAAGCUACUUGUGCGUGGGGGAGAACGUAGGGAAACUUACGCUAAUACCGCAUACGACCUACGGGUGAAAGCAGGGGAGCUUCGGACCUUGCGCGAGUGAAUGAGCGGAUGUCGGAUUAGCUAGUUGGCGGGGUAAAGGCCCCCCAAGGCGACGAUCCGUAGCUGGUCUGAGAGGAUGAUCAGCCACACUGGAACUGAGACACGGUCCAGACUCCUACGGGAGGCAGCAGUGGGGAAUAUUGGACAAUGGGCGCAAGCCUGAUCCAGCCAUACCGCGUGGGUGAAGAAGGCCUUCGGGUUGUAAAGCCCUUUUGUUGGGAAAGAAAAGCAGCAGGUUAAUACCCCGCUGUUCUGACGGUACCCAAAGAAUAAGCACCGGCUAACUUCGUG
This 492-nucleotide ribosomal RNA is filed under the name uncultured bacterium. Its description in RNAcentral is "partial 16S ribosomal RNA". It matches the Rfam family "Bacterial small subunit ribosomal RNA", at positions 29 to 507 of the family's 1533-position model. The record is from RNAcentral.